RNAcentral lists this long non-coding RNA (2877 nucleotides) under Sus scrofa (pig). RNAcentral's name for it is "lncRNA (ENSSSCG00035021393.1)". The record is from RNAcentral. Lineage: Eukaryota; Metazoa; Chordata; Mammalia; Artiodactyla; Suidae.
GGCAUAUGGAAGUUCCCAGGCUAGGGGUCAAAUUGGAGCUACAGCUGUCAGCCUACAUCACAGCCACAGCCACACCAGAACUGAGCCAUGUCUGCAUCCCACACCACAGCUCACAGCAAUGCCAGAUCUUUGACUGAGUGAGGCCAGGGAUUGAACUUGUGUCCUCAUAGAUACUACAAUCUUACUCCAUAAUGUGAUCUUGAGAAAUGAGGCAACAGCACAGGGCUUUCAGAGAAAUCAUUCAGAGAUCCAGUGGCAGUGAGGAGCCAGUGGGGAAUCAGUGGGAAUCUGUUAGCAACAGCAUCAUCUUCUAAUGACAGAUGAUCCUAGCCAGGCUCUUCGUUCACUAGACAGUGGCUCUGGUUCUGGGACCCAGUUACCCUUGGCUUCUGCUUGUUAACUAAGACAGAGCAUUUCCAUCCAUUCCAUGUUCAUAUCCUUCCAACAAAUUUAGUUCAUGCUUAGGUUCAACACAAGUGCCUUCUGUUGCUUGCAAUUGAAACCCUUGCCUGAAACACAAAAGAUACAAUUCUCCAUUUCAUUUUCAUCAUUUAAUUAUUCUUUUUAAAGUUGGAAUGACCUCUUUCCAAAACCAGGAGUCAUAGAUCAGUUACAUAAACUCUAAAUUAAUACCCUUGGGGUGGUCACGUUACUGGAGGAAGCCUCCCAUUUUCAGGGGGAAGAUUUACUUUGGAGCCUACAGCUGAAAACUGUGUUGACCUCAGAGCUCUCUAAAGGGCUUCUACUUCACUGCCUUCAUGUAUUCAUUCAUUCAUUCAUCCACUCACUUAAGUGUUUAUUCCAUCAUCAUUUAUCUAGAACCUACUACAUAUUCAGUAAUGCAUGGGCCACUAUCCUAAGUGAGCAAAGCAAAAGGAGCUUAACUUUAUGGGGAGGACAGACAUGGACAACAAAUUAUUACUUGAUUUGAUUUGAUUUGUUUUUUUCUUUUUUAGGGCCAUACUUGCAAGGCAUAUGGAAGUUCCUGGUCUGGGGUGGAAUCGGAGUUACAGUUGAGGCCUAUGCCAUAGCCAUGGCAACUCCAGAUCUGAGCCAUAUCUGUGACCUUCACUGCAGCUUGCAGCACCUCUGGAUCCUUAACCCACUGAACAAGGCCAGGGAUUGAUCCCGCAUCUUCAUGGAUACUAGUCAGGUUCUUAACCCACUGAGCCAUGGUGGGAACUCCCACAAUGAAUUGUUUAAUUUCACCAUUUUAUAAGAACCACGGAGAAGUUUAGGAUGCUUUUCUUUCUUUUUAAUUUAGUUUUUAUUUUACACUGGAGCAUGGUUGACUUAUCAUGUUGUGUUAGUUUCAGGUGUACAGCAAAGUGAUUCAGUUAUACGUAUACACAUAUCCAUUCUUAUUCAAAUUUUUUUCACAUAUAGGUUAUUACAGACUAUUUUUUCUUUUUUAUUAAUAACUUUAUUUUUUUAUCAAAGAGUUGAUUUACAAUGUUGUGCCAAUUUCUGCUCUACAGCAUAGUGACCCAGUAAUACAUAUAUAUACAUUCUUUUUCUCACACUAUCAUCUAUCAUGUUUUAUCCCAAGAGAUUGGACACAGUCCCCUGUGCUAUACAGUAGGACCUCAUUCCUUAUCCAUGCCAAAUGUCAUAGUUUGCAGCUACCAACCCCAAACUCCCAGUCCAUCCCACCCACUCCUUUUCCCUUCCCCCUUGGCAACCACAAAUCUGUUCUCUAUGUCUGUCUGUUUCUGUUUUGUGUUUGGAUUCAUUUGUCCCAUAUUUUAGAUUCCACAUAUAAAGUGAUACAACCACUAUGGAAAACAGUGUGGAGUUUCCUCAGAAAACUAAAUAUAGAACUACCAUAUAAUCCAGCCAUCCCAGUCCUGGGUAUAUAUCCAUCAAAAACUAAAAUUCAAAAAGAUAGAUGCAUCCCUAUGUUCAUUUAAACACUAUUCAUAAUAGCCAAGACAUGGAAACAACCUAAAUGUCCAUCGACAGAUGAAUGGAUUAAGAAGAUGGUACAUAUACACAAUGGAAUACUACUUAGCCAUAAAAAUGAACAAAAUAAUGCCAUUUGCAGCAACAUAGAUGCAAUUUAAGGUUCUUAUCCUAAGUGAAGCAAGUCAGGAAGAGAAAGACAAACACUGUGGUACGGAAUAUUGAGUAUAGUUCCCUACGUUAUUCAGGAGGUCCUUAUUGAUUAUCAGUCUUAUAUAUACUAGUGUGUACAUGUUAAUCCCAAACUCCCAGUCCAUCCCUCUCUACCAGCUUUCCUGUGGUAACUGUAAGUCUGCUUUCAAAAUUUGUGAAGGGUAUUUGGAACAGGAGUUCAGGGAGAGGAACGCCUUGCCAAGGAAGUAACAUUGGAGCUUUGAGCUGAGGGAUGAAGGGGCAUGACUGGCUGAAACAGGGAAAGAAGUGGAGAUGAUAGGGUGUGUGAAGGGCCCAGGCAGGCAGGAGCAGCCUGCUUUCUCAGGGGUGGAAAGGAAGCCAGGGGGUCUGAAGCUGAGUCCAAAGGACAGGAAAGUGAGCUGAGGUUGAAGAGGGAUUUGGACCUUGAUGGCCAAGGUAAAGAUUAGGGAUGUUUUAUCUCAAAAGCAGUUAGAACCAUUGGGGGGUUUUAAUUGGGUGAGAAAAAUGUUGGAUUUCCAUAUUUUGAGAAUCAUGCUGAUAGCGGCAUUAAAGAGUGAAACAGAGGGUCUCAAGCAGGGUGAUGAGAAGGGCAGGUGGGAGGGCAUUUCAGCGCCGCUGGCAGAACUCUGGAGUCGGGUGAAGGUGGAGAGAAGAGAAUGACUUAGAGAAUGUAUGAGGCAUAGAGCAGAAGUCCAUGGCUGGUUGGUGGAGAGUUUCCCUGAGGAAUGCAGGGUGGAUGGAGGUGGUUGUUACUGGUAUGUGCAGUUCUGAAGGAAGAAG